Molecule: ribosomal RNA, 483 nt
Filed under: uncultured bacterium
Lineage: Bacteria
Description: partial 16S ribosomal RNA
Rfam family: Bacterial small subunit ribosomal RNA
Source: RNAcentral
GACGAACGCUGGCGGCGUGCUUAACACAUGCAAGUCGAACGCUGAAGCUCAGCUUUUGUUGGGUGGAUGAGUGGCGAACGGGUGAGUAACACGUGAGUAACCUGCCUCCUUCUUUGGGAUAACGCCCGGAAACGGGUGCUAAUACUGGAUAUUCACUGGUCUUCGCAUGGGGGUUGGUGGAAAGGGUUUUUCUGGUGGGGGAUGGGCUCGCGGCCUAUCAGCUUGUUGGUGGGGUGAUGGCCUACCAAGGCUUUGACGGGUAGCCGGCCUGAGAGGGUGACCGGUCACAUUGGGACUGAGAUACGGCCCAGGCUCCUACGGGAGGCAGCAGUGGGGAAUAUUGCACAAUGGGCGCAAGCCUGAUGCAGCGACGCCGCGUGAGGGAUGGAGGCCUUCGGGUUGUGAACCUCUUUCGCUCAUGGUCAAGCCGCAACAAUGGUUGUGGUGAGGGUUGUGGGUAAAGAAGCGCCGGCUAACUACGUG